GACGAACGCUGGCGGCGUGCUUAACACAUGCAAGUCGAACGGAAAGGCCCUGCUUUUGCGGGGUGCUCGAGUGGCGAACGGGUGAGUAACACGUGAGUAACCUGCCCUUGACUUUGGGAUAACUUCAGGAAACUGGGGCUAAUACCGGAUAGGAGCUCCUGCUGCAUGGUGGGGGUUGGAAAGUUUCGGCGGUUGGGGAUGGACUCGCGGCUUAUCAGCUUGUUGGUGGGGUAGUGGCUUACCAAGGCUUUGACGGGUAGCCGGCCUGAGAGGGUGACCGGCCACAUUGGGACUGAGAUACGGCCCAGACUCCUACGGGAGGCAGCAGUGGGGAAUAUUGCACAAUGGGCGGAAGCCUGAUGCAGCAACGCCGCGUGCGGGAUGACGGCCUUCGGGUUGUAAACCGCUUUCGCCUGUGACGAAGCGUGAGUGACGGUAAUGGGGAAAGAAGCACCGGCGAACUACGU
This 467-nucleotide ribosomal RNA is filed under the name uncultured bacterium. RNAcentral describes it as "partial 16S ribosomal RNA". It matches the Rfam family "Bacterial small subunit ribosomal RNA", at positions 28 to 506 of the family's 1533-position model. The record is from RNAcentral.